UACGAAGGGGGCUAGCGUUGCUCGGAAUCACUGGGCGUAAAGGGCGCGUAGGCGGCCGAUCAAGUCGGGGGUGAAAGCCUGUGGCUCAACCACAGAAUUGCCUUCGAUACUGUUUGGCUUGAGACCGGAAGAGGUAAGUGGAACUGCGAGUGUAGAGGUGAAAUUCGUAGAUAUUCGGAAGAACACCAGUGGCGAAGGCGGCUCACUGGACUGGUAUUGACGCUGAGGUGCGAAAGCGUGGGGAGCAAACAGG
This 253-nucleotide ribosomal RNA is filed under the name uncultured bacterium. RNAcentral describes it as "partial 16S ribosomal RNA". It matches the Rfam family "Bacterial small subunit ribosomal RNA", at positions 524 to 776 of the family's 1533-position model. The record is from RNAcentral.